This 426-nucleotide ribosomal RNA is filed under the name uncultured Halobacterium sp. RNAcentral's name for it is "bacterial SSU rRNA". It matches the Rfam family "Archaeal small subunit ribosomal RNA", at positions 70 to 495 of the family's 1478-position model. Lineage: Archaea; Methanobacteriati; Methanobacteriota; Halobacteria; Halobacteriales; Halobacteriaceae. The record is from RNAcentral.
CUUAGAUCGCAGCGGAAAGCUCAGUAACACGUGGCCAAACUACCCUGCAGAGGAGCAUAAUCUCGGGAAACUGAGGCUAAUACUCCAUACCGCACUCACGUUGGAAUACCGAGUGCCCAAAACGCUUCGGCGCUGCAGGAUGUGGCUGCGGCCGAUUAGGUAGACGGUGGGGUAACGGCCCACCGUGCCGAUAAUCGGUACGGGUUGUGAGAGCAAGAGCCCGGAGACGGAAUCUGAGACAAGAUUCCGGGCCCUACGGGGCGCAGCAGGCGCGAAACCUUUACACUGCACGACAGUGCGAUAAGGGGACCCCAAGUGCGAGGGCAUACAGUCCUCGCUUUUGUACACCGUAAGGUGGUGUACGAAUAANAGCCGGGCAAGACCGGUGCCAGCCGCCGCGGUAAUACCGGCAGCUCAAGUGAUGAC